CUACGAAGGGUGCAAGCGUUAAUCGGAAUUACUGGGCGUAAAGCGUGCGCAGGCGGUUUUGUAAGACAGUGGUGAAAUCCCCGGGCUCAACCUGGGAACUGCCAUUGUGACUGCAAGGCUGGAGGGCGGCAGAGGGGGAUGGAAUUCCGCGGGUAGCAGUGAAAUGCGUAGAUAUGCGGAGGAACACCGAUGGCGAAGGCAAUCCCCUGGGCCUGCACUGACGCUCAUGCACGAAAGCGUGGGGAGCAAACAGGAUUAGAUACCCUGGUAGUCCACGCCCUAAGCGAUGUCAACUGGUUGUUGGGGAUUUAUUUUCUCAGUAACGAAGCUAACGCGUGAAGUUGACCGCCUGGGGAGUACGGCCGCAAGGUUAAAACUCAAAUGAAUUGGCGGGG
RNAcentral lists this ribosomal RNA (395 nucleotides) under uncultured bacterium. Its description in RNAcentral is "partial 16S ribosomal RNA". It matches the Rfam family "Bacterial small subunit ribosomal RNA", at positions 523 to 918 of the family's 1533-position model. The record is from RNAcentral.